UGCAGCAAAAUGUAAUUUAAAAAAUGUCUGAGAUAGGUGCAAAAAAAAGUCCUCUUUUGCAAACCAGGACUCUUUGUUCAGUAUGAGUUUUGAUACAUACAAGAAGGAAUAUU
Molecule: small nucleolar RNA, 113 nt
Filed under: Carlito syrichta (Philippine tarsier)
Lineage: Eukaryota; Metazoa; Chordata; Mammalia; Primates; Tarsiidae
Description: Small nucleolar RNA SNORA40 (ENSTSYG00000025249.2)
Rfam family: Small nucleolar RNA SNORA40
About the family: The snoRNA ACA 40 belongs to the H/ACA family of snoRNAs and guides the pseudouridylation of 28S rRNA subunit at position U4565.
Source: RNAcentral